GGGCGAUUAGGUUGCGGCCAAGCUGGGCAGCGGGCGGAAUUAAGUCCCUACCAUCUGCCGAGGAAUAGCGCGGAAGCAAGUCCGGGGCUGUGGGGAGGGGGCGGGAUGUACACAAGAGAAGCCAAAGGGGAAACUGAGGCGAGCGCCGCUUGCCUCGCUCCCGCCGACCGCGAAGCGAGGGACGGGCCUGGCCAGGCCCCAGGCCCUCCGGGAGCAGCGCAGCACCUCGAGGCCCAGAGCACUGGCGGGGGAGGGAGCGGGGGAGGGGCGGCCCCGCGCGGCUCCCGGCCCCCGGCCCCCAGUGUCCCAGCUCGGACGCGCCCCGGCCCCGGCCCUGGCCCUUGCCCGCCGUGCGCGGCGCCGCCUCCUCCACGCGGACCCCGGAGGCUCCCCCGGGAGCCGGGAGGGUGCAAGGCGUGCGGUGGGCCUGGGACGCGAGAGGAGUCCUGGGGGGGCCGGGCGCUGACCUGCGCCCCGGGAUGCAGGCUCCGCUCUUGGCUCGGCCCGGCCCGACCCGGCCCGGCUCCCCCGCCCCCAUCCCCGGUCACGGACACCAUUUUAGGUCGCGACAUCCCGCAGCCUCCACUCCGCAGGCCGCGCUACGGCUGCCUCUCGGGCCGGGGGCGCCAGGACUCGGGGUCCCCGACCCUCCCUCCGCCUUUACCCGGCCAGGAGCUGUGCUUUGGCCAGGCCGGGAGUUUGGCCCAUCCGCCCGGGGACGGAGGAGGCGUCGGGCCUUCUGCAGGGCCGCCCCAGGGGGCGGCACGGACGAGAAGUGCGGGCCGAGACGCAGCCGUCUCUACCCAGCUCCAGCAGCAGCCGCCGCCGCCCUCCCCGGGGCCGCCGCUACUUCCUGCUUCUCUACGGUUCGGCCUCCCUCCUCCCUCCUCCCUGCGCUCCCUCCGCGCCCCUGGCCUGAGCUGCCCGCUUCCAUACUCGCCAUUGGUCAGUUCCCCCGUCGUUCAGGUAUGCGCCCCGCCCCACCUCGCGCUGGGUUGGUCUUAAGUACUGUCGCUCGGAACUAGCCCCGUGGAUUCCGCUCAUCCUCAUUGGGCGAGGAGCCUAGGCCCCCUGAAGAAGCCUCUCCCCAUUGGCCGCUCCGAAGUCCACAUGCCCCGUCUGCGCCUCUCAAGAGCGAUUGGCCGCCGCUACUGUCGCUCUUCGAAAGAAGCCAGCCUGAUUCCCCCUUCUCGGGCCGCAGGGUAACUCUCCCAGGUGUGACUCCGCCCCCUCCGCCCUAUUGGCUGCCCGAGGCUGCAGGCUGCAGUUCACUUAGGCAAAUUUAAAGAACUCUGAGCUUCGGUGCGGUGGGUGCUUGGAGGAGAACCGCGCCGACUGCGAGGGAACAUAGAACUCUGGAUCUGGCCGCGCUGUUUUCUCGGAGACCGAGCCCCACGUCAGCGUGGCCGCACAGAUGUCGCAGCGUGGGCCGACGCUCCAGGCAUGACGUCAUCUGCUGACCACUGCCCACCGCCUCUGACGUGUGGCCGGGCGUCACCUGCGGCUCCUCCCUCUGUGGGGAGCUCGGACUGGUACAGGAUUUGGGACAUGGACGGGCCUGGGGCCCGGGGCUGGGCCUGGCUUGCGGACCGGAAGUGGGGCAGAGGUGACUCCGGGAGAGCCGGCGGGGCUGGGCAGCCGGGCCCGACCGCAGGUGUCAGGUAUUUCAGUAAGACAGUGGUGCACCCCUGUAAACUCAGCACUGGGAAUGCAAAGGCAGGAGGAUCGAAGGUUGGAGGGAGAAGGCAGAACCAGAGAGAGAGGAAAAAGCAGCUCUUGCGAAGGGUUUGGGCAGAGGGAAGAAAGCCGAGUGGGUGCAGCACAGGGGACUAAAGCUGUUCUGUACUUAUGCAUUUGUUGAAAGCCACACAAUAUGCAACACAGUGAAGCUGGUGUCAGCGCUGGUCUCUGGCUAAUAAUAAUGUAUCAGUUUGGGUUCAGACUGAAACCUGCCACCAGGGAGGUCGAGAGGAGGGGAAUCUGUGGGAACUGUGUGUACUUUUUAUUCUCAAUUUUUUAGUAAACCUAAAAUGGCUCUAAGAAAUAAAGUGUAAUAAUUUUUUUUAAAAAAUGUAAAGCAGGGAAGAAAGCAGGGAGUCUGGGAGGGUUGUAGUUGUGGAUAGGGUGGACAAGUGAAGGCCUGGGUGACGAGGUGGCUGAAGCCCAGGGAGUGAGGGUGCAAACCCCGCAGCCCCGGAAGAAAGAACGGGACGGGGCUCCUUGGUGGAAGGAGUGAGUCGGGACUGCAAGAAUUGGGCUCCUGGAGGC
Molecule: long non-coding RNA, 2268 nt
Filed under: Heterocephalus glaber (naked mole-rat)
Lineage: Eukaryota; Metazoa; Chordata; Mammalia; Rodentia; Bathyergidae
Description: lncRNA (ENSHGLG00100047105.1)
Source: RNAcentral